CCUACGGGAGGCUGCAGUGAGGAAUAUUGGUCAAUGGACGCAAGUCUGAACCAGCCAUGCCGCGUGAAGGAAGACGGCUCUAUGAGUUGUAAACUGCUUUUGUACGAGGGUAAACGCUGAUACGUGUAUGUUUCUGUAUGUAUCGUAUGAAUAAGGAUCGGCUAACUCCGUGCCAGCAGCCGCGGUAAUACGGAGGAUCCAAGCGUUAUCCGGAUUUAUUGGGUUUAAUGGGUGCGUAGGCGGAUGGAUAAGUUAGUGGUGAAAUCUCGCGGCUCAACUUCGGAAUUGCCGUUGAUACUGGUAGGCUAGAGAGUAGUUGCGGUAGGCGGAAUGUAUGGUGUAGCGGUGAAAUGCUUAGAGAUCAUACAGAACACCGAUUGCGAAGGCAGCUUACCAAGCUACAUCUGACGUUGAGGCACGAAAGCGUGGGGAGCAAACAGGAUUAGAUACCCUAGUAGUC
Molecule: ribosomal RNA, 460 nt
Filed under: uncultured bacterium
Lineage: Bacteria
Description: partial 16S ribosomal RNA
Rfam family: Bacterial small subunit ribosomal RNA
Source: RNAcentral